AGGGGUGUAGGUUAAUCUAAAACUUGUGGCUUGUGGCGCCACAGAUCUAAAUGUAGCAUUUCUU
RNAcentral lists this transfer RNA (64 nucleotides) under Hexostoma thynni. RNAcentral's name for it is "tRNA-His". Lineage: Eukaryota; Metazoa; Platyhelminthes; Monogenea; Diclybothriidea; Hexostomatidae. The record is from RNAcentral.